This 274-nucleotide ribosomal RNA is filed under the name uncultured bacterium. Its description in RNAcentral is "partial 16S ribosomal RNA". It matches the Rfam family "Archaeal small subunit ribosomal RNA", at positions 473 to 747 of the family's 1478-position model. The record is from RNAcentral.
AAACCAGCACCUCAAGUGGUCAGGAUGAUUAUUGGGCCUAAAGCAUCCGUAGCCUGUUCUGUAAGUUUUCGGUUAAAUCCACUAGCUCAACUAGUGGGCUGCCGAAAAUACUGUAGAACUAGGGAGUGGGAGAGGUAGACGGUAUUCGGUAGGAAGGGGUAAAAUCCUUUGAUCUAUUGAGGACCACCUGUGGCGAAGGCGGUCUACCAGAACACGUUCGACGGUGAGGGAUGAAAGCUGGGGGAGCAAACCGGAUUAGAAACCCGAGUAGUCC